Molecule: ribosomal RNA, 492 nt
Filed under: uncultured bacterium
Lineage: Bacteria
Description: partial 16S ribosomal RNA
Rfam family: Bacterial small subunit ribosomal RNA
Source: RNAcentral
AGUGAACGCUGGCGGUAGGCCUAACACAUGCAAGUCGAACGGCAGCACAGUAAGAGCUUGCUCUUACGGGUGGCGAGUGGCGGACGGGUGAGGAAUACAUCGGAAUCUACUUUUUCGUGGGGGAUAACGUAGGGAAACUUACGCUAAUACCGCAUACGACCUACGGGUGAAAGCAGGGGAUCUUCGGACCUUGCGCGAUUGAAUGAGCCGAUGUCGGAUUAGCUAGUUGGCGGGGUAAAGGCCCACCAAGGCGUCGAUCCGUAGCUGGUCUGAGAGGAUGAUCAGCCACACUGGAACUGAGACACGGUCCAGACUCCUACGGGAGGCAGCAGUGGGGAAUAUUGGACAAAGGGCGCAAGCCUGAUCCAGCCAUACCGCGUGGGUGAAGAAGGCCUUCGGGUUGUAAAGCCCUUUUGUUGGGAAAGAAAAGCAGCAGGUUAAUACCCCGCUGUUCUGACGGUACCCAAAGAAUAAGCACCGGCUAACUUCGUG